RNAcentral lists this ribosomal RNA (301 nucleotides) under uncultured bacterium. RNAcentral's name for it is "partial 16S ribosomal RNA". It matches the Rfam family "Bacterial small subunit ribosomal RNA", at positions 509 to 807 of the family's 1533-position model. The record is from RNAcentral.
CAGCCGUCACGGUAAUACGUAGGGUGCAAGCGUUAAUUGGAAUUACUGGGCGUAAAGCGUGCGCAGGCGGUUUGUUAAGACAGAUGUGAAAUCCCCGGGCUCAACCUGGGAACUGCAUUUGUGACUGGCAAGCUAGAGUCUGGCAGAGGGGGGUGGAAUUCCGCGUGUAGCAGUGAAAUGCGUAGAUAUGCGGAGGAACACCGAUGGCGAAGGCAGCCCCCUGGGCCAACACUGACGCUCAUGCACGAAAGCGUGGGGAGCAAACAGGAUUAGAUACCCCUGUAGUCCCUGUCUCUUAUAC